This 253-nucleotide ribosomal RNA is filed under the name uncultured bacterium. Its description in RNAcentral is "partial 16S ribosomal RNA". It matches the Rfam family "Bacterial small subunit ribosomal RNA", at positions 524 to 776 of the family's 1533-position model. The record is from RNAcentral.
UACGAAGGGUGCAAACGUUGCUCGGAAUUAUUGGGCGUAAAGCGCGCGUAGGCGGCUUGGCAAGUCGGAUGUGAAAUCCCUCGGCUCAACUGAGGAAGUGCAUCCGAAACUGGCAGGCUUGAGUACUAAAGAGGGUCGCGGAAUUCCCGGUGUAGAGGUGAAAUUCGUAGAUAUCGAGAGGAACACCUGCGGCGAAGGCGGGUUGCUGGGCUGACACUGACGCUGAACUGCGAAAGCUAGGGGAGCGAACGGG